Molecule: long non-coding RNA, 1187 nt
Organism: Hemicordylus capensis (graceful crag lizard)
Lineage: Eukaryota; Metazoa; Chordata; Lepidosauria; Squamata; Cordylidae
Exons: 2
Source: RefSeq, a predicted model, not a curated record
UUUUUGUCUUUCAAAUUAUCCUUGCCACCGCCCCCCUCCACCCCGCAGUUUGCGGCUUAAAGCAAUCUUCAUCAAGAUUAACACCCAGUUGUCAAGCAGAUUCAAUUGCACCGAUCCAAUUCAGAAUUUAGGGCUGAAUUUAACAUAUCCACAUAACUCGUUCAAGACUCAGCAUUGCACUUUUUGAGAAGAGCAACAAUUCAUGAGAGCAACAGAACCUCAUUAGGGGUUAUGGUAGUUUUCCCAGCCUGCACUGGCAUUGUCCAGCAAGGAAAUGCUUCUGGGUUUCAGUGUGACAAUGAAAAGGAAAUGUUUUUUCCAAGGCAUUGGUUACUUCUAAUCUGAAACACACUUUGAACAAUGAGAAAUAGACAGGAACUCUUCAGUGCACACUGACAAGGCCACAUACUUAUGGAUGCACCUGUUUCCAUGGCAACAAAAUACUUAGGUUCCACAAGAGCCUGUGGGUCCUUUUGUGACUUUCUACUGCAUCAGUGUUUAACUCUGUGUGUAACCAAAAGAGAUAUAGUUCAUAAAUGACAGGAAUGUCAGUGCCUUGUGGGGCUGGAGCAACCACAGACCUCGGGCUCAGAGGUACCGCAAAGUGAGUCAGGACUUACUUCAGAGAAAAUGGUCUACAUGAGGAGGAAAAUUGCACACUCGAGUCCCAAUGAAAUUAAAGAACAAGUUAGGCAUUGCCCAAGUGAGUAAUUUCCCUCAUGUCAGCCACGAUGUUUCGGACGGGAACACAAAUGCAGAAUAUUCCGUUACUUUUAGAAAUAUAAUUUGUAGUCACAGCUCAGCCCUUCCCCGAGACGUGCCUUUUGCCCUUUGUGUGCCCCACCCCCAUAUUUUUUUCCUGGUGCUUUCAAAUACAAACAAUUCAGUACUGCAAAUAUUUAUUUGUGGCAUUCAUAAAUUAAGGUGUAUGCUCUCAGUUGUGGUUGCUGCCUUCCUUUUAUAAGUUUUAUAGUGUGUAUAGUUAUUUGAUUGUUUUAAAUUUGUUUGUAAGCUAUCUUGGGUUCCCAAAAGUAGGUCAGGAAACUGUCCCUCCAUGUUUAAGUCCAAUAUUUUGUUUUUAUUGAAGUUUUAUUACUGCUUUUAUCUUUUUAUUAACCGAUGGGGUUUCUGGAGGAAGGGCGGUAUAUACAUGUAAAUAAUAAAAUAAACAAACACUCUAAGCACUA